RNAcentral lists this long non-coding RNA (3329 nucleotides) under Equus caballus (horse). RNAcentral describes it as "lncRNA (ENSECAG00000050955.1)". The record is from RNAcentral. Lineage: Eukaryota; Metazoa; Chordata; Mammalia; Perissodactyla; Equidae.
CUUAAGCGAAAGAGAUCUGGCUUGCCUUUCAGAGCCUUAGGUAUAACCAUAGUUUACUUAAGUGGAAAGAAUUUGUAUGGUUGACCCAAUUGAUAAAGAAACCCUGGAAUGCUCCUAAAUCUCUGAGCAACUGGGCUGCAGAGAGCAGGAAUCUUGCGAAAUUGUCGGUCUUAUCUGCUCAAGCUGAUCAACUGAGAACCACCUGGUGCCGAUUCUGACUCUAUCUUGUUUCUUUUGUUAUUGCUGUUGCCUCUCUCUCUCUCUCUCUCUCUCCCCCUCCCUCUCAAAUGCUUCCUCGUGUCAUCUUUUUUUCCAAACAUUCAGUAAUUCUUAUUGCAACAUGCCCAUGACUAGGAAGGCCACCGGCCAGUGCUGGAACAUACCGUCCAAGAUAUGUAAAACACAACCUUGAUCCUAUCGGGCUCUCCGUAAUGCCCAAGUUGACAAGGGAACCACAAGGAUGACUCGUAUUAACAAAACAAUCCCAGGCAGAGGCUGAAGCAGCAAAGUUGUACAACGUUGCGCGUCGAGUGGCAGACUUCUGUUAUCGAAGCUCACCUCAGCCAGGCAUCCACGCUGUGCUUUAUGGUGCCUCCUCGAAAAUUAGGAAGAGGCACCCGCCCUGGAUGGACCCAGCCUUGACUCCCGCCCUUGGCCAGGCGCCUGUGUGCAAGUUACAACCUGCUUAAACCUGUGCUAGUGUCCACAACUGUUGUCCGAAGUGUAACAGAAACAAAUAUGGUAGCAGGAAGCCCAGCACCCACUCACAGACACUUGUCACAACUUGAAUCCUCAGCAGUAUGUGCAAGACAAUGUCUCAGGAAGCCGACAAGAGAGCAGUGCCUAGAGCCACCGGCCCUGCCUCACUAAGACAGAAGGGGUUCCAACUCCACCUGCUGCCCCCAGUGCCUUCCUGGAAGCAGAGGAAGAAAUGGAAAAAAGAACAGGUGUAGGAAGAAAAGGGACAUGCCUUAGAGGGAAAAAGGCGAUGAAAAGUCUCCAAACUGGCUGAUGGUACAUCCGAGAUCCUUCAGGCCUGUGUACUCCUCAUACUGGGAAACAACGCCCAAGAAGCCAAGAGUGGAAACUUUAAAACCAUCUAUCCAGUAUUUAUUCCAUGUUCUUUUCUUUAGAAUUAAAGAUCUACAAAAUAUGAGAAUAAGCUAUAGAGCUUCAAGCGCCAAAUCCUUCUUGUGGCAAAACACAAAACUACAAAAUGAGUGAGUCAGCUCCCAGAGGCACUGGUCCCUGCCUCCGCCAGGACAGAAGCCCUCCUGGGCCACCGCGGUCAAUGGACAUUUCUCUUUCACAAGAACGCUCUUGGUGAAGGUACCUCUCUGGCCAGCACCCUGAUGGAGCGAAAACCUAAAAACAGAAAUCAGAAACUAUUGAACAAAGUGACCCCAAAUUUGUUUAAAGGCAACUAACUUGUGAUGCUCUCUGAUCCAAAAUAACAACUCCUGAAAUAAUUGCUAAUGUGUUUAAUGAGGUUGCAACGUUGGGUGGUCCAAAGUAGAGCCUAUGGAUGAGAAGAGAUGCAAGCAUCACCAUCAACACCAGCCCACAUGUAAGGGGCCCAGACAGCAGGUAAGGCUCUGAAGGAGACACGGAGCUCUAAGAAGCCCAGGUCGGAGGUCUUGCCCAUGAGAAGCUUACAUCUACUGAGUGGUCAAGGCACACACACAGUAAGAAAACGUCAUGCAGAAUCAACGUCCACCGAGUAUUAGAAGAAACAAAUCUUCAUCCACUCUGUUUCGGGAACAAAUUCUUUCGUCUUCCAGUUUGCUUCCUACCCUUUUCUUCAUUUUGCCUGAAUGUUCUGACCUUUGUGCUUAUUUAGCUUUGCUGAAUUACAUGCAUCUUAUUCAGCCACUUUAUUUCUUUUAGAGACAAGGUGGAGGAACUGUCAAAGGAAUAGGAGCAGUGCUGAGCCAGGAUACAAACAGCUCAUCAGUCAGGUUCUGUAAAAUCCCCACUCCGGCUCAGGUCAAGCCCUAACGCUCUCAUCUGCUGCCAGGAAGUCAUCCCUCACCAGCAUCAGAGCCCUCAGCGGCAUCAUAACCACUGGGUAAACAUUAAUCCCGUUGCUUAAAAUUCAGUUCCGAAGAACUACAUUAAGACCGCAACAGAGUUCUUUACACAAAAAAUAAACCAGGCAUCUCAAAACAUUUAAAACCAAACAGACGAUAAUGUUGCAACAUGACGGUUUGGACAUUUUCUGGGUCUAAUUUGCUUCUGAUUCACUGUUCCACGUUUUCUGAAAGGAUGUGUAUUUCUGUGCUGCAUGCGGCCUCCACGCUGUCCACAGCUCAACAGCAAACCAAAGACCUCACUCGCUCCCUCGUCCCCAGCCUACUAAAAUAGCGCCGUCUAAUCAGGUACCUCUCUGCAGGAAACAGGCCUUCCUACGCAGGAAGCACAGGAAAGAGGACUGGAGACAGCAGUCCCGCGGCUUUUCUGCCAAAAAGGACAAAAUGGCUCUUCUGGCAACUCCUGACUCAGGAAAUCACUGAAUUAAGUAGUCAGUCUGCAGAGUAAUUUAGCAUGUCAUCCGCUUCCUGGCAACAGUUAUUUGGAAGCAUUUAUAUUUUAAUUCAACUCUGUCAUCAUUGGGGUUAGAACUUCUUCUCUCAGGGGACCUCAAGAUCAGAGAUUUUCCUGCAGUUUCUACAGAGCCACUGCUUUUAGCUCUUCCUCCCUCUUUCCAGGCCACAGCAGCCUGGCCUCCCCUUUGACUGCCGUCUAGGUCAAGCUAACCCUUGUCUUCAGAGCUAAAUAUAAGUUGCAAGGCGGUGGGGGAGGCUCCUGCAGUGGUGUCCCUGGAAAAUGCACUUGUGAGUGUGCAGAAGAAUGAGGAUGCGACCGCACGCCCAGGAGCUGCAGCAUCGUCCGUGCUCUCUCGGGGACAGGGAACCGGACGAGAGGUCAGUAACGUGGGUUCCCCUUCUGGCCUCGUCAUGGACCUUCUGUGUAAUGCUGCACAAAUAAUUUUCCUCUCUGCUCCUCCACUUCUCCAUUUUUGGAGUGAACUUGACCAGUGCCAUCAUCUUCUUCAUUUGCAGACGUUAGAGACAGGCGAUGCCAUAAACCAUAAAUACCCUGCAUAUCACAAACAGCCCUCCCCAUGCACACAGUAGGAUCAGUUAACACAUGUUGUGGGGAAUAAGAAUCCUGCAUGUGGAUGAGCAGUUUCUUACAGCUGGUGAACACACGAACCCACAAAGUACCUAAAAGGAAAUCACAUAAAAUAUAAGCAGCAGGACCAUGUAAUUCUUACUAUACACAUAUAUUUGUGAUCUUUACCACUUGGGGAGAACGAUGGCUAAAUC